GAUGAACGCUAGCGGCAGGCCUAAUACAUGCAAGUCGAACGGGAUCCAGAUCAAAGCUUGCUUUGGUCUGGUGAGAGAGGCGCACGGGUGCGUAACGCGUGAGCAACCUACCCUUGUCAGGGGGAUAGCCCGGCGAAAGUCGGAUUAAUACCGCAUGACAUCAUUGAGAGGCAUCUUUCGAUGAUCAAAGAUUUAUCGGACAAGGAUGGGCUCGCGUGACAUUAGCUAGUUGGUAAGGUAACGGCUUACCAAGGCUGCGAUGUCUAGGGGCUCUGAGAGGAGAAUCCCCCACACUGGUACGGAGACACGGACCAGACUCCUACGGGAGGCAGCAGUAAGGAAUAUUGGUCAAUGGACGGAAGUCUGAACCAGCCAUGCCGCGUGCAGGAAGACGGCCCUAUGGGUUGUAAACUGCUUUUAUACGGGAACAAACGUCGGUACGUGUACCGGUCUGAGUGUACCGUAAGAAUAAGGAUCGGCUAACUCCGUG
This 490-nucleotide ribosomal RNA is filed under the name uncultured bacterium. RNAcentral's name for it is "partial 16S ribosomal RNA". It matches the Rfam family "Bacterial small subunit ribosomal RNA", at positions 28 to 507 of the family's 1533-position model. The record is from RNAcentral.